AAAGAAACUAACAAGGAUUUUCUUAGUAGCGGCGAGCGAAAAGAAAUCAGUUCAGCACUAAGUCACUUUGUCUAUAUGGCAAAUGUGAGAUGCAGUGUAUGGAACAUCUAUAUUCUAGUAUGAGAAAUUAACGAUUUAAGUCCUUCUUAAAUGAGGCCAUUUACCCAUAGAGGGUGCCAGGCCCGUAUAACGUUAAUGAUUACUAGAUGAUGUUUCCAAAGAGUCGUGUUGCUUGAUAGUGCAGCACUAAGUGGGUGGUAAACUCCAUCUAAAACUAAAUAUAACCAUGAGACCGAUAGUAAACAAGUACCGUGAGGGAAAGUUGAAAAGAACUCUGAAUAGAGAGUUAAAUAGUACGUGAAACUGCUUAGAGGUUAAGCCCGAUGAACCUGAAUAUCCGUUAUGGAAAAUUCAUCAUUAGAAUUGUGAUAUUUUAAAAAUAUUAUGAUAAUAGUGUGCAUUUUUUCCAUAUAAGGACAUUGUAAUCUAUUAACAUACCAAAUUUAUCAUAAAAUAUAACUUAUAGUUUAUUUAAAUUAUUAUGCUUGCAUUUUAACAUAAAAUAAAUGUUAUUAAUUUGAUAAAGUGUUGAUAGAUUUAUAUGAAAUACAAUGCGUUAAUUUUUCGGAAUUAUAUAAUGGCAUAUUUAUCUAUGAUAUUUGUGUUUAUUAUAUGCAUUUGUAUGAUUAACAAUGCGAAAGAUUCAGGAUACCUUCGGGACCCGUCUUGAAACACGGACCAAGGAGUCUAACAUAUAUGCAAGUCAUUGGGAUUUAUAUAUAAACCUAAUGGCAUAAUUAACUUGACUUGUCUAAAUGGGAUUAGUUUAUUUACUAUUUUAUAGUUUAUUAACGCAAUCCCGGGGCG
Molecule: ribosomal RNA, 867 nt
Filed under: Lissocephala sanu
Lineage: Eukaryota; Metazoa; Arthropoda; Insecta; Diptera; Drosophilidae
Description: eukaryotic LSU rRNA
Rfam family: Eukaryotic large subunit ribosomal RNA
Source: RNAcentral